UACAGAGGUCCCAAGCGUUGUUCGGAUUCACUGGGCGUAAAGGGUGCGUAGGUGGUUAGGUAAGUCCGAUGUGAAAUCUCCAGGCUCAACCUGGAAAUGGCAUUGGAUACUAUCUAGCUUGAGGAGUGGAGGGGGGACUGGAAUUCUCGGUGUAGCAGUGAAAUGCGUAGAUAUCGAGAGGAACACCAGUGGCGAAGGCGAGUCCCUGGACACUUCCUGACACUGAGGCACGAAAGCUAGGGGAG
This 245-nucleotide ribosomal RNA is filed under the name uncultured bacterium. RNAcentral describes it as "partial 16S ribosomal RNA". It matches the Rfam family "Bacterial small subunit ribosomal RNA", at positions 524 to 768 of the family's 1533-position model. The record is from RNAcentral.